Molecule: ribosomal RNA, 601 nt
Filed under: uncultured bacterium
Lineage: Bacteria
Description: bacterial SSU rRNA
Rfam family: Bacterial small subunit ribosomal RNA
Source: RNAcentral
CCUACGGGAGGCAGCAGUGGGGAAUAUUGCGCAAUGGACGAAAGUCUGACGCAGCAACGCCGCGUGAGGGAUGACGGCCUUCGGGUUGUAAACCUCUUUCAGCAGGGACGGAGCGAGAGUGACGGUACCUGCAGAAGAAGGACCGGCCAACUACGUGCCAGCAGCCGCGGUAAUACGUAGGGUCCGAGCGUUGUCCGGAAUUAUUGGGCGUAAAGGGCUCGUAGGCGGUUCGUCACGUCGGGAGUGAAAACUCGGAGCUCAACUCCGAGCCUGCUUCCGAUACGGGCAGACUAGAGGUAGGCAGGGGAGAGCGGAACUCCUGGUGUAGCGGUGGAAUGCGCAGAUAUCAGGAAGAACACCGGUGGCGAAGGCGGCUCUCUGGGCCUUACCUGACGCUGAGGAGCGAAAGCGUGGGUAGCGAACAGGAUUAGAUACCCUGGUAGUCCACGCCGUAAACGUUGGGCGCUAGGUGUGGGGGACAUUCCACGUCCUCCGUGCCGCAGCUAACGCAUUAAGCGCCCGCCUGGGGAGUACGGCCGCAAGGCUAAAACUCAAAGAUAGUGGCGNGUUGAGUAGCGACGACGACGACGAGGAGGAGGAG